This is a long non-coding RNA of Lolium perenne, 3658 nucleotides long. RefSeq lists it as uncharacterized. Lineage: Eukaryota; Viridiplantae; Streptophyta; Magnoliopsida; Poales; Poaceae. The record is from RefSeq and is a predicted model, not a curated record.
AGGUCGUGCCGUAUGAAGUGGAAACAGUUCAGAACUGGCGCAAAUUGAACGGCCCAGUAUACAACCUAGGCCCAUUAUGAGCCUGACCCCUCUAUUCUUUUCUCUCUGUUUCGCCUAGGCGCGAACUACUCGCACUUUCAGGGAAGGGAAGGCGACGAACCCUAACCGCCGGCGCCGCCCCCCUCCUCAUUGACGUCGCCUAAUCCUCUCCGACGCCUGGAUCUCACGCCCCCGCAUUGCCGUAAUCAUCGCUGCUGCCACCGCAGAUUGGUUCGUGCCAUGAAGUGAAAAUGGACGUCAGAGUAAUGGGUGGUUGACCCGAGCUGCCUGAAUUUUCAUUGAGGCUAUCACCGCAACUCGUCAAGAACGGAGAGUAACUUUAAACCUAUAAAAAAAUCUGUUUGUUCUGAAGGCAAUAUAUAUAUGGAAUGAAGAGUCAGCCAUCUCUGUAUCUGGGUUUAGCAACUGGAAUGAUGCGUUUGAAACUUUCAAUGGGCAUGUUGGUGGAGUUAAUAGUAGUCACGAUAUAUUGCAAGGCAAUACUAUGAGGAUUUCAAAAGUCGUAGUAAGAUCAUGGCUGCUAGUUUAUGUUGUGCAAGAUCUCUUCUGUCACAAGGUCUUCCCUUUUAUGAACAUGAAGAAUGGCCCAGUUUUGGAAAUAAAUGGAACUUUGUGGAGAUGCUGAAUUGGUACAUGAACGAUUUCAAGUCAUUUGACCUGCCGAUUAUUGAAAAUUUGCUAUGGUGAACUGACUUCUCCAGAGACGCAGAAAUUUUUGGUGAAAUCUUGUGCAGAAGUGAUCGCACAGACCAUUGUUGAUGAGAUCGGAGAUAGUUAUUUCACUUUAGUUGUUGAUGAGCCUCAUGAUAAAGUUAUGCUAGAAAAAAUUUCUAUAAUUGUGAGGUUCGUGAACAAGCAUGGGCAGGUCAUCGAAAGAUUACUUGGUACUGAAUAGACAACUCUAGAUACAGCCCUUUCAAUGAAAGAAGCUUUGUAUGGUUUGUUAACUCGUCAUGGUUUAUCUAUUUCUAGACUAAGAGGGGUAGGUUGUAAUUUAGUCUCAAAUAUGACAGUAGAAUAUGAUGAACUGAAGUCACUAAUUCUGAAGGAAAACCCAUAUGCCCAUUAUGUACAUUGUUUCGCCAAACAGUUCCAGUCGGUUAUUAUUUCUGUCGCAAGGAGCAAUAAAGCUAUUGGUGAUUUUUUCUUCUACGUGGAUGGAAUUGUUAAAACUGUGGCUGACUCUUCUAAAACAAAAGAUGCAUUGGUACAAGAGUACUAUGCAAAGAUUGUGAAAAAAAAAUAGAGAGCAGCGUGACUUUACCAGGCAAAGGAAUACAUUAAGAAAGUGAUCUUGAUGCCUGGCCUGCACAUACACAGUGGGGUUCAUACUGUAAAACUUUGCUUCAUUUGCUUACGACAUGGGAUGGAGUGCUGAAAGCACUAGAAACUGUAUAUGAAAAGAAAAGUCGUCUUUGUCAGCUGGGAACAACAUCAGAUUUUAUGAAUUGUAAUGGAGAGUAUUGGUCACCAAAUGAUUUGAUACAAACAAUGAAGACCUUUGAAGUGCGAGUGUUUAGCUGGACAGGAGAUUUGUUAUGUCUCUUGGAAAAGGAAGGUAAAUACGUUGUCAACGCGAUGGAUUUGAUUGAACCUGUGAAAGACGUUUUGCGGGACUUGUGGGAGAACCAGUGGGGUGAAUUUUUUGAAGAAGUAGAGAGUUUUUGUGUUGCGGUGUCUAUUCCGGUGCCAAGUAUGGAUAGUAGUAUGCCAAUUAGGGGUGUUUCACGGCGUAUGAGGCAAUUUGUUAAGUGUUAUCAUCAUUAUCAUGUUGAUAUUUUUAGUGCUUUGAUAGACUCAAUUACUACUGAUAUUAACAGUCGGUUCAGUAAAUCAUCUGUUGAGAUAUUAAGAUGCAUUGCUUGCCUUGAUCCAAGUGACUCUUUUUCCAAAUUCGAUCAUGGCAUGCUUCUUCGACUUGCUGAGACUUAUUCUUAUGAUUUCUCUACACCAGACUGUGAAAUCCUCAAAGAACAACUUCACAUGUUCAUCCUUAAUAUGAGAAGUACCUCUAAAUUUUCCAGCUGUCGUGAUCUUCCAACUCUUUCUGUGAAGAUGGUUCAAACUGAAGCACAUUUGAUUUUUCCACUGGUUUAUCGGCUCAUUGAGUUGUUGUUGAUUUUACCAGUAGCAAGAGCAACAACUGAAAGAGCCUUCUCAGCACGGAACUUGUAAUUUUCUAAUGAGAUAAGCGAUGAAUGGUCUAGUGACAUGAUGUUAUGUUGAGAGAGAUACUUUUGCUGAGAUUGACGAUGAAAAUAUUUUGCACUACUUCUAAAGAAUGAGAAGCCAAAAGAUUCAUCCAUCUCAAAAUUAGUGGUUGCUUUUUUCGGUAUGCAAUUCCGAUUAAUAAUUUCAAGAUGUCCAACAUAAGGCAAAGUUAUAAGCUCUCAAUUCUCCGACUUUCAUGCAGAUAAUCAAUGGAAGUGAGUCAAUUCUCUCCAAUUUACGUGUCACCUUAUUGUUUUUAUCCAUGAUCUGAAUUGUGACAAACAGAGAAAACAAUCUCAAUUAAUAUCCCACUGUGUAAUCCAGAAAACCUCAUUAUUAUAUUGUUUUCUAUUUAAAUUUGGGAUACCCAAGAAAAAUAAAAAAGACUAGAAAUUCCACUAGCUUUGGACUACUUAUAUCUGCUUACCACUAGGGAAACCUUGCAUAUGGUUAUAUCUUCUAUUUCUUUGAGGAAUUUGUAGCUUUUGAUCAUGAUGUGUUAUGUACUUUCACAUACUUGUAACAUUUAUAUGAUGCCCAUCGAAUACUUAAUUUUAGGAGAGAAUGUUUUCUGGUUUAAAACAAUCACCAGAGAAUAAUCAGUAAACGACUGAGACUAUUUUCCCUUGUGGUUUGAUGUAAAGUAGUAUAUCAUAUCUUUGUCCCUGGAGUGACCAGGUACUCACUCGUAUUUAUUCAAGUUGGUCUAUGUUCUUGUUAGAAAAAAAUAUAGAGAGAGAGAGACUCUAUUAGACACCCAAUUCUGCACCCAGGUCAAUCGACCGAGUUAGUUCCUCCUGAUGGGCCGAACCCAUUUAGACCCCCGCGUGCCCGCAUCCACCAGGGUGAUCGGAGCUAACCCACAAUCGUCAAAUCCAAUAUGUGUGUGCGGUUGUGGGAAUCACCGAUGUGGCCGGCGAGUGACUGCUUUGCAUUGCGUCCGUUGGCGAGCGGCUUCAAUCGUUGAUUGCUGCUGGCGGCGAGCGGCUUCAGCUGGGGAUUGCGUCCGGCGGCGAGCGGCUGGACCUACAACAGUCAACAGCGGCGGCGCCCGAACAACGGUGGCGCGAUAGGUAGGAUCAACCUCCCCUCUGUAUCUACCUACGCGCUAUUCCUCUUUCCUGUGUUGUCUCUCUCUGCAGCAAGACUGGAAUGGCGCACGGCGGCGGCGGAUGAAAAACUCUCUCGUUCAACUGCACGCUCGAACCCUCUUUCUCCUCCGGGCGUGCGGCCGGUGACCAGUAGCUUCACAGUAGCGCCUUUCUUCUUUGCCCAGGUUUGUCACGGUUGUUCCUAAAUUAUUCCAUCAGAAUUUGUAGAUAGAUUUAUGUAGUUGUUAGUCUGCACGUACUCAAUUUUUUUGGAUUAAUUAGCUGAUUUAGAAUUU